UACAGAGGGGGCAAGCGUUGUUCGGAAUUACUGGGCGUAAAGGGCGCGUAGGCGGCCUGUUAAGUCGAACGUGAAAUCCCCGGGCUCAACCCGGGAACUGCGUCCGAUACUGGCAGGCUUGAAUCCGGGAGAGGGAUGCGGAAUUCCAGGUGUAGCGGUGAAAUGCGUAGAUAUCAGGAGGAACACCUGUGGCGAAAGCGGCGCACUGGACCACAACUGACGCUGAGGCUCGAAAGCGUGGGGAGCAAACAGG
This 253-nucleotide ribosomal RNA is filed under the name uncultured bacterium. RNAcentral's name for it is "partial 16S ribosomal RNA". It matches the Rfam family "Bacterial small subunit ribosomal RNA", at positions 524 to 776 of the family's 1533-position model. The record is from RNAcentral.